RNAcentral lists this non-coding RNA (23 nucleotides) under Rattus norvegicus (Norway rat). The record is from RNAcentral. Lineage: Eukaryota; Metazoa; Chordata; Mammalia; Rodentia; Muridae.
UAGAUGCUUUUCUGAGGAUUGGU